This 254-nucleotide ribosomal RNA is filed under the name uncultured bacterium. RNAcentral describes it as "partial 16S ribosomal RNA". It matches the Rfam family "Bacterial small subunit ribosomal RNA", at positions 524 to 776 of the family's 1533-position model. The record is from RNAcentral.
UACGUAGGGUGCGAGCGUUGUCCGGAAUUAUUGGGCGUAAAGAGCUCGUAGGCGGUGUGUUACGUCGGCCGUGAAAACCUGCAGCUUAACUGUGGGCGUGCGGUCGAUACGGGCAUCACUGGAGUUCGGCAGGGGAGACUGGAAUUCAUGGUGUAGCAGUGAAAUGCGUAGAGAUCAUGAGGAAGACCAGUGGCGAAGGCGGGUCUCUGGACAGUUCCUGACACUGAGGCACGAAGGCCAGGGGAGCAAACGGG